RNAcentral lists this ribosomal RNA (465 nucleotides) under Vreelandella stevensii. Its description in RNAcentral is "partial 16S ribosomal RNA". It matches the Rfam family "Bacterial small subunit ribosomal RNA", at positions 338 to 795 of the family's 1533-position model. Lineage: Bacteria; Pseudomonadati; Pseudomonadota; Gammaproteobacteria; Oceanospirillales; Halomonadaceae. The record is from RNAcentral.
CCUACGUGCGGCAGCAGUGGGGAAUAUUGGACAAUGGGCGAAAGCCUGAUCCAGCCAUGCCGCGUGUGUGAAGAAGGCCUUCGGGUUGUAAAGCACUUUCAGUGGGGAAGAAAGCCUUGGGGCUAAUACCCUCGAGGAAGGACAUCACCCACAGAAGAAGCACCGGCUAACUCCGUGCCAGCAGCCGCGGUAAUACGGAGGGUGCGAGCGUUAAUCGGAAUUACUGGGCGUAAAGCGCGCGUAGGCGGUCUGAUAAGCCGGUUGUGAAAGCCCCGGGCUCAACCUGGGAACGGCAUCCGGAACUGUCAGGCUAGAGUGCAGGAGAGGAAGGUAGAAUUCCCGGUGUAGCAGUGAAAUGCGUAGAGAUCGGGAGGAAUACCAGUGGCGAAGGCGGCCUUCUGGACUGACACUGACGCUGAGGUGCGAAAGCGUGGGUAGCAAACAGGAUUAGAUACCCGAGUAGUC